Long non-coding RNA from Dioscorea cayenensis subsp. rotundata (Guinea yam), 5176 nucleotides. RefSeq lists it as uncharacterized. The transcript is spliced from 3 exons. The record is from RefSeq and is a predicted model, not a curated record. NCBI's taxonomy places the organism in Eukaryota, Viridiplantae, Streptophyta, Magnoliopsida, Dioscoreales, Dioscoreaceae.
UAUUUAUAGAGAAUCAAUACAAAUCCUAACAACCUUGCCACUCUGGCAUUUCAUCAAACAUUAGUUGUGCCAGGACAGCUAGCACUAUACCCGGAACCUUCUCAAAUACCCUUCUCCUAAUUACAUUCAUAAGCAUAUUCAAACAACCAAUUAACCAGCAAUUCAUAUUAAACUAUAUAGUCUUGAAAUCUGGAAGGUGGUUUGCUUUGAGUCUGGCGCGUGCUCCUCCACAAUCCUAUCUCAGCCUUCUGGGCACCUGAUUCUUGUGCAACAUGGACAUGGCCGUCAUGAUACAGGUGAAGAACAUCGCCAACGUGGGCGCCUACGUCUCCUUGCUCGAGUACAACAGCAUCGAUGGCAUGGGCAUGAUCCUCUUCGCCAAUCUCUCUUAUUAUUUUUUUUUAAAUUUUUUGGAAGCAGAAUGACUCUACAACCGCUGAAGAUUCGUGGGGACAUUGAGGUGAAGCGCUUGCAGUUUGAUGAUGUCCUCCACAUUAAGCAAGCAAUGAGGAAGAUAGAGGCAGAGGGCAAUGAAGAUUGACCAGUGACAAUUAAGUUAGUUGCACCUCCCCUCUAUGUUCUUACCACUCAAACUCUUGACAAGGUUUGUUGAAUAUUGAAUAUUGACCCUUUUUGUUUUAUUUGAUUAGCUGCUUUUAUGAUAUUUAAUUUUGUAUUUACCGAUGUUGCUUUAUUCUGCUGCAAUAUUAUAGAUUUUGCUUGUGGAGCUUUAUAUAGGAUUGGAAUUAUGAAAUCAGUGUAGAAUUUGAAAGGAAACAUUGAAUCUGUUUAGUGAAAGGACAAACAGAGUGUGUAAGCUAGAUUUAAAAUUGUUUGAGAUUAUAUUGCAGUGAGGUUCAAAAGGUGAGUAGAAAUGAAACACGAGGUUGCUCAUUCAUUCCACUUCCCAUUUUUCUGUUUUUGAGGGUUUUGAAUCCUCAUACUUGAAUUUCUUUGUUUGCAAAAUAAAAGGUCCACAUGAGAUUAGUCAUUUGUUUAUGCCCCAUAAAAAGUUGGGCGAUUAAGGUGAGUUAGUUUGACCAAACGAUGGGUAAAAUGAAUCUUGAAUAAAAGACAAUUCUUGAAUAAUGAUAUUGGUGGAUUGCUUUACAUAUGACAAGUAUUUGUAGUUUCCUUCUUAACUGCUUGUCUUGAAAGUGUGGUUUCCUUAUAUUUGGAUAGAUGAAAGAAAUUUCAUCUAUUGUUUUAAUUGGCACUUAAAUGAGUUAUUUUUAUAUAUUUGGAAAUCAUAAGUUAUUAAGUUUGCAAGUUUAGGGUGCAUCACAUGACUAAAGUAUAUAUUUUGCAGUAUAUCCUAUAUGCAUCACUCAUUUGAUUUUAUAGACUAUUGCAUAAGUUUUUCAUUUGUUUUGCUAAAUGGUCAUCUGGACAGGACUCCAUUUAACCACCACUAGGUGAACUGCGGCAGUGGCACUGACUGUCGGGGCCCAUUUUGAGGUUUAAUUAUUGUGUUGGAUUGCGCUUGUUCAACCUAGCUGUUGGAAAUGUCCAUGCUAGUUAAUUCACUUCCCUUAUAUUUUAUGGAUAACUUCAACAGUCAAGCAGAUAAUGACUCAUUAAUCAUUAACUGCAUCACAUCAUUAAGAUAAGUUUAGACUGAUCAAAUUCCAUCUGUAUUCAACUAAUGAAAUCGUUUGAGAUGAGGAUAUUCAAGCAUAUAGAUUACCUAUAGGUUACUUUUUAAGAUAAUCAUUUGAGAAGUUCUGUAUUUUGUGAAAAGCAAUUGUAGCUUGUCAAAACCAACUUCUUUUGGCCUAGGUGCUUAUAACAUGACAAUAUUAAAUUGAGAAAUAUGGUGAUGUAAGAGUAUAUACUUAUAGCUAAUAAUACAUUUAGUUAAUCUGAUAGAAAUUAUAUGGGAAAGGGAGUUGGUUAUCAUGAUACAAUUGGAUUCAUUAUUAUCAAAAAUAUGGAGUGAAAACUUUAACAGGUGACUUGUCUUCAUGGUUUGAUAUUCUCAUACUGUAGUGAAAAUGAUUAUAAAUGUGUUUAGAAUUUAGGAGAAUGCUAGGUGCAUCAUUCAUUCCUGGCUGCUUGUUAAGGCUCAUAGAUUUCUUACCUGUCAAAAAUUUUGAAAAGUACCAUUGGAUGGAAACUGCAUACCACACACACUUUUAGACAAUAUUCUUGGGGAAGAAGGUGCUAUUGUAUGGAUCUUACAAUCAAUGCAUGCUUUGUGUUGGAAAACUAUUGAGCUGCACUGUAUUUUUGACUUGGUUACUACUUGUGGUCAGCAUGUUGGUCAUUUUGUUCGAAAAGAGUAAACUUUGGUGGUUUGUGGGAGUCAUCUUCUGAGUAGUGUUCUUCUUCUGCAUUAAGAAUUACCCAUUUACAAAUUUCAUUCGUUGACUGAAUCUAUGGGACUAAUAUGUACAUGUCUACAUUCUGAUUAAGUGCUUCUUUUUUGGCCACAAGCUUGUUCUGAUUGGCAUAAGCUAUAUAUAUAUAUAUAUAUAUAUAUAUUACAUCAAAGCGAUUUGCUUAAAAUUAAGCUUCUUACUGGAUAAUGUGAGCUUUUAUUUGGCAUGAAUCAUUUGUUAUUUCUACACAAGCACCAAGUGGUUGAUUGGCAAGAUACAUGUCCAACACCCAUGAAUCAUCCAUCAAUUUUGCCUUUCAUUAAUUUUUUUCCUGUUUGCAAUCCGAAGUUUCUUUUUCACUGGAGCAAGGGAUUUCUGUCUUAAAUAAUGCAACCAAAGCAUGCACUGAGGAAAUGGAACAUCACAAGGGAAAGCUUAUAGUAAUGGAAGCACCAAGAGGCAUGAGUUUCCAUAGAAAUAUCUUAUCUUUAAAUUGUUUAAUGCUUCUUCCCUUAUUUUAUCUUUGUCCUUUUGCUGAAAUGGGGUUGGCAAUUUUUAAAAGUGGAAAGAAAGUUUCCUUUUCGCCUCUUCUAUUUCAUGAUUUUAAUUUUCCUUUAUGAGUAUUAUUAGUGUUAGACUAAUAAUGCUCUUUGCAUCUGAUGUGAUAUGUGGGAAAUUGUUUAUCAACUUAAUAAUUUUCUGGGUGAGCAAACGGGAUGACAAGCUUCUUGCUGAGCAUAGUUCUAAACUGGUAUCUGCUAAUGAAGUUGAUGGAGAUGAUGGAAGUGAAGAAGUAGAAGAAGAUUCAUGAAUGGGCAAGUUAGAUGUGGAAAAUCCUGGUGGUCUACCUGAGUAAAAAAACAAAGAUAAAACAACUGGCCACAAAAAGGCAUUAAGAUUGUCAGUUGGGCCAAUAUCAGUACUGCUCAUGAAGUGUGCAAAUAAAUUUGAUGAGACACAGAACUUAUUCCCUAAUCAAUUUGACAAGAAUCUAGGUAUGAGAUCUGACCUUCUGUCUAAAUUAUUUCAUUGUUGAAUCAUGACUAAUCUUCACAUGCAUCUGUUUGCAUAUUUUCCCCUUGAGGCCAAUUGAAACUAUGAAUUUAUUUUUUGCUCAAUUGAGGUUAAGUUAUAGAACCGGCUUUUCCAUUUAUUGUGCAAUCUCAGAAGCUCUUCAUUUAUUUACCACCUUAAAUUUUUUUCUCUCUCUAUUAAGGUUAAGGUCUUUUUCUAAUACUUAUUUUCACUGUCUGUUCUUUUUCACUGGAAGAUGUAUUCUGUCUUAGUAAAGAUUAGGUUACUAGUGUUACUAGAAACAAAUAAUAAUUAUGACUUACAUACAAAUGGUUGAGUAGUGAUAGCAAAUACAAGAAAAUUGGGUAUUAGGAUUUUAAUAUCUUUAACCUAUAAUUUGCAUCCCACUUUUCUUUGCAGAACAAUUUCAUCAUACCAUUGGUGACUUUUGGUAAACAGUCAAUCUCAUGGUAAUACAAAAACACAAGAACUUGGAGAGAGACCUUUUGGCAAGGAUUGAGAGAUCUUAUUAAAUCCUCACACCUUGGAUAGGCAUUUGUUCGCCAUGGUCUGAUUUAUCAUACAGGUUUUAACCAACAUUUCUAGAGUGAUAGGCUUGGACUUUUCUUGCAAGGUGAUAUCAGGUUUAUCAUUAUUGGUUUUAAUUAAUAUUUCUAGAAGAGAUAGGCAGGUGAUUUUUAAUCAUUUCAUGAAUAUGGUGUUUAAUCAACAUUUCUAGAGAGAUGCAUAGGUAACACAGAGAGAGAGAGAGGAGAGAGCGCAAAGCUUGGAAGUAAACAUGGAGCAUCACAAGAUUGUGAUGAGAAAGGAGGGGGCAAUGCAAAUGCUAUUGGAAAGACACAGAACUACGUAACCCUGAAAAGAAUCUAAAAACAGCAUGGAUUGAAAGGUAAUAAAACAAACGAAACAAUUUGAUUUGGAUCAUGUCCCAAUCAAAUUCUCUCAAUUCUCUCAUGGACUGUGAUGUGUGGACCUUCUCUUGUCGGAUUUAUUCUUUGGCUAAGAAACAAGCUCCCCACCAACUCCAUCUAUGUAUUUCCUCUUCCUAUGGUUUCAUCUCUCUAACACUCUUUCCUUUAAUUUCCAUCCAUUUGUCUCUUUAGUUUGUCACACUAAUCAUGAAUUUGUGGUGAAAUUACUUGUUAUGUUUUGUUUUGUUUCAGUGAUAGUUUAAUACAAAUUAUUUGUUUCCUUGACAUACAAGAUGUGUGCAAAACUAUAGGAAGUGAUUGAUUCUUUGAGCAUCUGAUAAUUCCCUCUUUCAACUGUUUUAGCAAUCAAUCAUAUCAAACUUAGAUCCUAAGCAAUGUUAUUAAGCUUGCCACUUUAAUUUAAUUUCAUAUUCUUAGCUCAUUAGGUCUUCUCCUGGUCCCCCCUUCAAUGAAUGAAUGAAUUUUUAUUGUUCCUUGGUGAAUGACUAGAGAGAGAGAGAGAGAGAGGUCUAAUUUUUAAUUUUUUCUUCUUUGUUAUUAUUAUCUCUUGUUUCCUAUAGUCAAUCACAAGGAACAUUGAGAGAGAGAAGUGAUUUUGAUUUGGAUGUGGAUGCUUUGAGGUCAAGAAAGUUCUCAAGUGCUAGAAAACAAAGUGCUUUUAGGGAAUGGUACAAAAGCCAGCCUUAACCUGUUCCUCUUUUCACUAAGGUCAUAAUGAACUGGUUCUAUUCAAUUUCAAUACUAUAAAAGCACUCCUCUAUAGAAUGUCUUAUGAGAAUUUUGCCAUCACUUAACUUAAUUUCAGCUCUAAUUCAAACUUCAGCAAUUCACAUUAAUAAAUAUGUUCUAUUCCAGCAAUGUUUUUGUUUGAGAGAAUUAGAAUUUUAG